Molecule: long non-coding RNA, 2282 nt
Organism: Triplophysa rosa
Lineage: Eukaryota; Metazoa; Chordata; Actinopteri; Cypriniformes; Nemacheilidae
Exons: 3
Source: RefSeq, a predicted model, not a curated record
AUGAAUGCCAAUGUGAUUAUAAGAUACAGCAUAAAAACAAACACAUAAACGCAUGUUAUCUGUAUGCCUAUAGCCAAAUAACAAUCUGUUGAACGAAACUACAAGCUGCGCGUUAGCAGUUAACUUACCCGGUACAUUUAAAACCGGUGCGACUUCUCCCCAGCUCUUUUCCUUAUCUGUGCGGUUGUGGUAUGUUUUGGAGGAUACAUUAUAUAGACAAUCAUGCUGUUGCCACAAGUUGUUCUUCCAUCUCCGCUGUCCAACGUACCCUUGCAGGAGCUUUCGCGGUCGACAUUUUUAAAGGUCUGUCAGUCACCUUGCAGAUGUGCCUCUCAUUGGCUGUUGCGAAAGUACCAACGUCAUCACCCCGAUUUAAAAUCCUAAAUAUCAAACAUGUUUGAUAUGAUCGGGGCGGCCCCGAUUUCUCUCGGAGCAGAUCGGGAGGUGUAAGAUUCGAUCUGUGAACGCCUCACAUUACGUGAUAAUCUGGGCCGAAUCUCGGACCCGAUCGAGGUUCUGGACCCGAUUUUUUCAAAGAUUCUCGGGAGGGGAAAUCGGGGUAAAUUCUGGCCGAGAAUCCUGUAAUCUGAGCCAGGCUUUAAAUAGCAAAAAUCUCCACCUGUUGAAAAUAGUAUUUUACAGUCCACAUCGUGAAAUACUUUUUCAUUUUCAUGUAUUUUCAGGCGGUUUUAACAGGACGUUCUUUUAUGUCGUGCCGUUUGUAAACAGUAUUUUGACUAAUUUCCGUCUUCGACCCACUACAAAGUGCGCAUGUGCGGCCGAGAGUGCAUGUGUCUGAGUGCGCAUGCGCGGCUGAGAGUGCAUCUGGCCCGAGAGUGCAUCUGGUCUGCAGACAGACCCUUCUCUCAGGUACAAGGGCGCCGAUUUGGGUAGGGACAAUCAUUUCGACCGAACAAUUGAUCUACACAUAUAUAUAUAACCUCUGAUAUCCGUCUGUGUCUUGUGUCUUUUACUUAUUUUAUGCAACAUUUAUUCAUCCAGGAAUCAUUUAAUUGAAAUUAAACAUAUUUUACAAACGCGUGUUCUGUAAUAGCGCAUAUUGUGGUACACAAAUGGUUAAGUGUCAUUGUCUGCGAUGAGAAUGACGUAGCUCACGUCGCUAAUAGGAUUGGCUUCGCCUUUCUUGAGUCCCGCCUCUCUAACCGAAGUCGCGUUAUGAUUGGCGUUGCCUUCUCUCACUAACGUAAGGCUGCAGCUGAUUCGGUUGUAUGAACUAUGCGCCAAAGAUUUUUUUUAUUAUUAAAGCGCCAAAGCUAAGCCGUGUCAAGACGCGAUGAGCAUGAUUAUGCAGGUUACCCGUUAUCAGAGCCAACUGAGGUCCGAACUCUUGUGCUUCAAGGACUAUCAUGUUUUGAGAUGACUCCCCUGGACAUGUUUGAUGUCAGAUGAUCGCAGCUCAAUCCUUGACGUGCCAGUGGGGAUUGUAAUAGUUGAAGAUGGGACAACUCUUCACCCCCUCAACUCUCUGCAUUUGUCUCCAUCUUCAAUUGGAAUGGUAACUGAGGGAAAAAUGGUGAUGGACAAUGUACAUGACCUUCCAAAAGCAAUGUGCCUUCUGUUCGGACUUACUUACACCCUACACCUGAAUUACCCAAAAUCGCUGAAACACACAUUUGAAUUUAUUCAGCGUAUUCUACUUUCCAUGGGGCAGAAAGAUGUGCCGUCUAAACUACAGUCCUUGGCAAAUCAGCUGUUUGGUUAGAAUAGAGAAUCUUGCACACUGAAUAACUGCUACAGUUACAGUACGAAUUCUUAUAUUUUAUACAGAUUUAUAUUUUAAAAUGUGACUUGAAAAUACAAGCUUUUGCGAAGUUAUGGUUAUGAACAUUGCUUCUGUUAUAUUAAUGUUGAUGGCAGAUAUGUCUGUGGUUAUACAUUGUUUCAGAUGACAUGUCUUUUGUAAAUGUGAAAGAAAAUACAAGCAUACUGUUAUGAAUUUUGUUUUAGUUAUAUUAUCCAACACAUUUAAUAUCAUAUCUUGAUUUUAAUUAGAGCAUGUGCUCCAUACAGAUUCAGGUUUUGGGGAUUGUAAAAACAUAUCUGAAAACGAGUUUGUGAGUUGACUGUUUUUAAUCUUUGUUUCUGUUAGUGACAAACAUGUCUAUUGUUGUUUCUUACAGUCUGCUUUUUGUCAAAUGGCCAAUAUUAUGUAUAUUAUUGAUGUGAAAUCGACUUGUUUUAAUGGUUUAUAAUUUAAUAAAAGUAAACACAAAAAAAGGUAAAUUUUGAGUUCAGUCUAUUUGCUCUUUAUGAUAUCUGUA